This 520-nucleotide ribosomal RNA is filed under the name uncultured Glomus. RNAcentral describes it as "SSU rRNA". It matches the Rfam family "Eukaryotic small subunit ribosomal RNA", at positions 569 to 1090 of the family's 1831-position model. Lineage: Eukaryota; Fungi; Glomeromycota; Glomeromycetes; Glomerales; Glomeraceae. The record is from RNAcentral.
AGCAGCCGCGGUAAUUCCAGCUCCAAUAGCGUAUAUUAAAGUUGUUGCAGUUAAAAAGCUCGUAGUUGAAUUUCGAGAUCAAUUUGUGGGUCGUGCCUCGGUACGUACUGGCAUUAUCGAUUUCUCCCUUCUGAAGAACCGCGAUGUCAUUAAUUUGGUGUCGUGGGGAAUCAGGACUGUUACUUUGAAAAAAUUAGAGUGUUUAAAGCAGGCUUACGCUUGAAUACAUUAGCAUGGAAUAAUGAAAUAGGACGUUUGAUUCUAUUUUGUUGGUUUCUAGGAUCGACGUAAUGAUUAAUAGGGAUAGUUGGGGGGCAUUAGUAUUCAAUUGUCAGAGGUGAAAUUCUUGGAUUUAUUGAAGACUAACUACUGCGAAAGCAUUUGCCAAGGAUGUUUUCAUUAAUCAAGAACGAAAGUUAGGGGAUCGAAGACGAUCAGAUACCGUCGUAGUCUUAACCAUAAACUAUGCCGACUAGGGAUCGGAUGAUGUUAAUUUUUUAAUGACUCAUUCGGCGCCUUA